AUGGCAGCACAUCCACUAAAAUUGAAACAAUAUAGAGAAGAUCAGCAUGAUCCCUGCACAUGGGUGACACACAAAUUUGUGAAGUGUUCUAUAUUUCU
RNAcentral lists this small nuclear RNA (98 nucleotides) under Pan paniscus (pygmy chimpanzee). Lineage: Eukaryota; Metazoa; Chordata; Mammalia; Primates; Hominidae. The record is from RNAcentral.